Molecule: ribosomal RNA, 442 nt
Filed under: uncultured bacterium
Lineage: Bacteria
Description: partial 16S ribosomal RNA
Rfam family: Bacterial small subunit ribosomal RNA
Source: RNAcentral
CCUACGGGGUGCAGCAGUGGGGAAUAUUGGGCAAUGGGCGCAAGCCUGACCCAGCAAUGCCGCGUGAAGGAAGAAGGCUUUCGGGUUGUAAACUUCUUUGACAGGGGAAGAGCAGAAGACGGUACCCUGAAAACAAGCCACGGCUAACUACGUGCCAGCAGCCGCGGUAAUACGUAGGUGGCAAGCGUUUUCCGGAUUUACUGGGUGUAAAGGGCGUGUAGCCGGGAAGGCAAGUCAGAUGUGAAAUCUGGAGGCUCAACCUCCAAAUUGCAUUUGAAACUGUUUUUCUUGAGUACUGGAGAGGCAGACGGAAUUCCUUGUGUAGCGGUGAAAUGCGUAGAUAUAAGGAGGAACACCAGUGGCGAAGGCGGUCUGCUGGACAGCAACUGACGGUGAGGCGCGAAAGCGUGGGGAGCAAACAGGAUUAGAUACCCCGGUAGUC